Long non-coding RNA from Tympanuchus pallidicinctus (lesser prairie-chicken), 308 nucleotides. RefSeq lists it as uncharacterized. The transcript has 3 exons. The record is from RefSeq and is a predicted model, not a curated record. Lineage: Eukaryota; Metazoa; Chordata; Aves; Galliformes; Phasianidae.
GCUGAAUGAUCAAGGAGCUGUGACCAGACCUGCACCUGGGAUGCAGACAGCAACACUGCAGACUGGGGACUGCUCUACCAGGACUUCAAGAGCCACUUUUCUGUCCAAGUUCUCCCCAAGCAGUUUCUAAGCCCGGCUAUAAAAGCACAGCGAAGUGCUGCAGAGCCCAGUGAGGCUGUCAGCUCCAGCAGGGAUCCAAUUCCUUCUGACAUUUCACACAGCUCUACUGGAAGCAGCAACACGGUGAGUCUGUGUCUAGGAAUGCGCUCUGGUCUCCCACAUUCUCCAUACGUUGCGUGCUGUAAAUG